GGAUUAGAUACCCUGGUAGUCCACGCUGUAAACGAUGAUUACUCGCUAUUGGCGAUACACUGUCAGUGGCUAAGCGAAAGUGAUAAGUAAUCCACCUGGGGAGUACGAUCGCAAGGUUGAAACUCAAAGGAAUUGACGGGGGCCCGCACAAGCGGUGGAGCAUGUGGUUUAAUUCGAUGAUACGCGAGGAACCUUACCAGGGCUUAAAUGCAUAAUGACAGAUUGGGAAACCAAUCCUUCUUCGGACAAUAUGCAAGGUGCUGCAUGGUUGUCGUCAGCUCGUGCCG
Molecule: ribosomal RNA, 287 nt
Filed under: uncultured bacterium
Lineage: Bacteria
Description: partial 16S ribosomal RNA
Rfam family: Bacterial small subunit ribosomal RNA
Source: RNAcentral